CUCAUUGCCUAAUAGUGAAACUAGCCAGUCGGUAAGACAUCCUAAAGCGCAACAUCAGGCCAACAGACAGAAGAGUUAUCAGGCCAACAGAUAAUUGCAGAAUUGGUCCUAGUGGAGCUUUCUGAAGGGUCUCAAUCCUUUACACAGCUUCUCCGGGGGAUAGAUGAUUCUCAGAACCAAACUGCGUGCAACCCUUUAAGUAGCCAAUCUCCAUCACACUAUUGUCGACCGGACAGACCCAAAAGAAGGAUCACGGGUGCUUCAUGUAAUCUGAACGAGGACAUUGAUGAUAUUCUGCCUUUCUGUUCGAACGGGUUUACCCUAACUCCCCCCAGGAACCAAGCUACAUAUUUCCGACCCAAACAUGGCACAACAUCAGCGCAAGUGCAUUGCGCAGAAUCCCCCCGGCCCGAAAAGUUACUGCUUCAAGAAACGGCCCUACACGGAUAAGACUCCAACGAGACUGCAGAAUCUGCAAGGCCUGGUGAAAAAAGUCUAAAGCCCCCGGUUUCCGCGAUUCGUCAGAACAGCCCGCGUCAAAAAAGCCGAGACUCCUCCCCGGCGUAUAACGGCACAGAAGACCAUACACACCGAGAACACGCGGAGGAUUUCGGCACGCCAGACAUUCACAAUAAAACAACGAAACUGGAUGAUUUCAACGUUUUAAAUGACAUUCCUGAGGUAGACAACUGGAUAUUCUGUAACGCAACCAAUCUUCUUGAGUCCUUCAAUUCUUAUGUAGAAACACCCAAACCUGAAAUAGACCAAGCUCGGUUUAUCAAUGCCUUUUCAAAGGCUCUAAAAUCCAGAAAUGUCUUGCUACACAAACGAAUGGUUGAUUUACUCGAGCGGCAAUACGGUCAGGAUCUAUCCUUCUGGCGUAGAACAAUGCCCCGUUUGUUAAGCAACAAACCGUUUAAAAAACGCAAAUACCGGCGGUAAAAACAGUUACCGAAAUGGACGUGCCAAUAAUUGAGACAGUUGAAAGCCUUUUGCUGAAAAUACCCCCGAUCUACAAGCUUUAAUUGAACGGAUGAACGAGGGUGCGGUAUCAGACAUAAUUCCGAUAGACGAAAAUCUAUUUUCCCAAAUUCCCGCCGACCUAAUUGAAAUAAUUAAACAUAUGAACGAGUCAGGAACAACCUAUGAAAACCAAUUAUGGCAAAUCCCGCCCGCCCUAGUUUUUUUAAUAAACCAGAUGAACGAGAGCCUGAGAUCUUCUACACCGGAACCCGCACACACCCCGCCAUUAACUCCCAUGUCAGAAGAGUCUGUAACUCAAUAUUAUGUUUUUGAGGAAUUGGAAAAUUGUCUAAUAAAUCAGGAGGGAGAUGGUCUUGAUAGAAGUGUCAGGGUUGUGUACAGAAAUAAAUUCAGCAAUACAGAGAUUAGACAGUUUUUCAAUUUCACAUGGAUGAAUCAAAGUCUCGAUUAUGCGUUUUUUUACGUGAUGAUUUUGGAAACUCUGAACGAACUGUUACAAAGGGCAAGAGAUUAUGGCGAACCUCGUGAUGUCUUACAGUUGGAAAUUUGUGGAGAUAGCAUGCAAAACACUGUAUCUCUUAUUUUACCCAAUGGUGAAGCAGAUCUUGAACAAUUUAUAGCCCUGCUGGAACGACUUGUUCAAUCAAAUUUAUCCAUCACAGCCGAUAGGUCGCUAGAGUUAUAGUGCAAAUAAUACGGCAACCCCUGGGUGGUGGGGGUCAGAGAAGGCAACUUGAUAGCCUAAUGCAAUCAGAAAUCAUAAACAAUAAAAUGGCAUGCCUCAUAAACGUUCACAAUCCCGGUAAUAAGCUAUGCUUUGCAAUAGGCCUAGCACAUUUACUAAACCCUGGAUGUACGGAUCUAGAGGCGUUACAAAAGGCUAGAGAGCUUCAAAAUGCUGUUGGUCUGGGCAUGCAGGAUGCAGUGGCAUUCUCUGACAUAGUCAAAUUUUAAAACUUUCUGAACAUCAAGAUUGUGGUUUUGUACCACAGUAGAGCUAAUGCUUCUCUCUUGAAAUUCCAAAACAACCCCCAACCUCAUCCUCAGAUUCCGUACUUUUAUGUGCAAAACGACCAUUACUAUGCAGUUACCAACAUCGGAGCGUUUUUAGGCGCACCGUAUGUGUGUCCAGCCUGUCAUACCGGCUACACCCGAAAGGGGGGGCACUCGUGCCGUUAUAACUGUUCCGUAUGUCUGGAUGAAAAUUGUCCGAUGCAGCCCUUAAACCUGACACCCUGUGCCGAUUGUCACAGGACAUGCCGUUCGGCCUACUGUUACGAAAAACACAACAUUGAAACAUGGCACCCCAAGGCCUGUAAAUCUGUAAGCAGUUGUGAUAUUAACAGGACCCAAUUGUUCACUCAUCUUUCUAAAACACUUCAGAAAACCCCAAUACAGAAACUUCACGUUUAUAGCGCACAAUUCUAGAGCAUAUGAUUCGUACCUUCUUUUGAACCCUCUGAUACAGCAAGGCAUUGCACCCAGUGUCAUAGCUCAAGGUAGUAAAAUCUUGUGUUUUGUAGACCCCGCUUUCAACCAGAGAUACAUUGACAGUUUAAGCUUCUUACCCAUGAGAUUGGCUCAAAUGCCCGAGGCCUUGGGUUUUGAGAACUCUGUGAAAGGUUGGUUUCCCCAUUUUUUUUUUGUACAUCUGAGGAGAAUCUAAACUAUAUAGGAUCUAAUCCGAGACCCGAAAUAUAUGGUUGUGAUCAAAUGUCUCCCAAAGAGCGAGAGAGAUUCAUGACAUGGUACGAGACAGUAUGUCACAACACUUUUGAUUUCCACAAAGAGAUGGAGUCCUACUGUGACAACGACGUGGUUAUCCUUCGCGAGGGGUGCCUCAGAUUCAGAGCAGAGGUCAUCAAAGAUGCAGGCAUUGACCCCUGGAGUUGUACAACUAUUGCAUCGGCAUGCAUGAAAACCUAUCGUACACACUUUCUACCUCCAGCAUCUAUAGCUAUCCCCUCGCCUGACAACUACCGACGCCAAUUCAAGUCAUACCUCUAGUGGCUCCAUUCAGUGGUUGGAGUACUUGGCCCAGGAUAAAGACAUUUUUAUUCAACAUGCUUUGAAUAGGGGUGAGAAGGCGUUUGGGCCUUAUCAUGUAGAUGGAUACACACAGAUUGACGGUGUUGAGACCGUGUUUGAGUACAACGGUUGUUUCUUCCACGGUUGUAAAUGUUGCUUUGAGCCACAGGCCUUGUGUGUCCUAACCCAAAAGACUUUUGGUGAAAUGUACCUAGAGUUUCAAGACAAAUUGGAAUCUUUACAGGCUACUUAUGGUUUGAAAGUGAAUAUUAUGUGGGAGCAUGAGUGGACCACACUCAAAAAGUCUGAUCCUCAUGUUCGAGCUUUCCUUUGAAGCUUUGACACACCCGAACCAUUGGAGCCACGACAGGCCCUGUAUGGUGGCCGUACCAAUGCUUUGACCUUGCGGUAUGUAGCGCAACCAGACGAGACAAUAGGUUACGUAGAUUUUACAUCUCUUUAUCCUCAUGUAAUGAGUUCCUCAUGCUAUCCUAUGGGGCAUCCUGAAAUUAUUCACCUCGACUUUGACUUACCCCAAACUAUUUUGGUCUGAUCAAAGCAACUGUCUACCCACCUAGGGGUUUGUUUAUACCAGUGUUGCCUUACAAGGGACCUCAAGGAAAACUUUUCUUUCCCCUAUGUCGCACCUGCAGUGAAAACAACAACCAGGAAAAGCCGUGUGAUCACUCAGAUCAGGAAAGAGCCCUUACAGCUGUCUGGGUUACACCUGAAUUCACAAAGGCUCUAGAGAAGGGGUAUCGUGUGGCCAAAAUCUUUGAAGUGUGGAACUUUUCCAGGAAAUCAGACACUCUUUUUAAAGAGUACAUCAAGACCUUCUUGAGAUGCAAGCAAAUGGCUUCAGGCUAUCCUGCAUCGGUCACAGAUCAAGAGAGCAAAGAACAGUACAUUCGAGACUAUCAUGACAGAGAAGGCAUACUUCUUGACCCUGACCGAAUAGAGGUCAACAAGACUAAACGAAACGUGUCGAAAUUGUACUUAAACUUGCUUUGGGGGAAACUUUCGCAGAGAUGCAAUAUGCUAACAACAUCGAUCAUUAAAGACUCCGAAGAAUUUUUUGAGUUCGUUGUUUUGGACCAAUACGAAAUUUCAAAUUUUUCAUUCUUGAGUCAAGACAUUGCCCUGGUGCAAUGGAGACGUAACAAGAAGUGGGUUCUACCCCCGGGUAAUGUAAAUGUGUUUCUUGCAGCAUUUACCACGGCCUAUGGCCGACUUGAACUGUACACCCUCAUGGAGCAGCUUCAGAGGAGGGUUCUUUACCAUGACACAGACUCUGUGGUCUAUGUACGCAAACAGGAUGACUGGACCCCCCCCACUUAGCAACUAUCUGGGUGGUUUAACGAGUGAACUCAAAGAUGGCGACCAUAUCACAGAAUGGUCCUCCUGUGGGCCCAAAAGCUAUGCUUUUAGGACUAAAGACAAUCACGUGGUGUUGAAAGCCAAAGGCGUGACUCAAAACUACGAAAAUGCCCCGCCUGUAAACUUGGAAUCAAUCACACGCUUGGUCGAGGGGUUCAUAAACGAUCGGAAUAGUGACUUGGAGAUUUUGAGCUCCUACAAAAAAAAAUGUUGGGAUAAAAAGGGCUUCCAUCUCAGGAAUGCCCCACUUACUAAAAGAUUCAGGGUGUCUAUGACAAGAGACUGCUUUUACCUAACGGGACCACACUGCCCUUUGGCUACUGACUUAUGCUACAAGCCCCAGUGUGUCUUAAAGCUUAAGAUAUAAUGGCUGCUGUAGAAGGUUUUGACCCCAGGUUGCAACUACCAUUUUCGGCCUUAAUCGCAGGCCCCUCCAACAGUGGUAAAACUUGUUUUGUAAAAAGUAUUUUAGAGAAUUCUGAACAUGUGUUCAGAAGCCUGGCAAUAUUGUGUGGUGUUAUUCAUGUUAUCAACCUAUGUAUGAUGAAUUGUUGAAGAAAAUAAACAUCAAGUUUGUUGAAGGAA
Salmo salar (Atlantic salmon) is the source of this 4974-nucleotide non-coding RNA. The record is from RefSeq and is a predicted model, not a curated record. NCBI's taxonomy places the organism in Eukaryota, Metazoa, Chordata, Actinopteri, Salmoniformes, Salmonidae.